CGAACGCUGGCGGCGUGCUUAACACAUGCAAGUCGAACGAGGAAUAGAGAGCUUGCUCUCUAUAGCCGAGUGGCGAACGGGUGAGUAACACGUGACCAACCUGUCUUUGGGUGAGGGACAACCUGGGGAAACCCGGGCUAAUACCGCAUAAAGUCUUUUUUUCACCUGGGAAAGAGACCAAAGGGGGCCUCUGCUUGCAUGCUCUCGCCCGAUGAGGGGGUCGCGUCGUAUCAGCUUGUUGGUGAGGUAACGGCUCACCAAGGCUAUGACGCGUAGCGGGUCUGAGAGGACGAUCCGUCACAUUGGGACUGAGAUACGGCCCAGACUCCUACGGGAGGCAGCAGUGGGGAAUAUUGCGCAAUGGUCGAAAGACUGACGCAGCGACGCCGCGUGUGGGAGGAAGCCUUUCGGGGUGUAAACCACUGUCAGGGGGGAAGAACGGCGAGUAUCAGAAUACGAUGCUCGAUUGACGGUACCUCCAAAGGAAGCGCCGGCUAACUCC
Molecule: ribosomal RNA, 502 nt
Filed under: uncultured bacterium
Lineage: Bacteria
Description: bacterial SSU rRNA
Rfam family: Bacterial small subunit ribosomal RNA
Source: RNAcentral